RNAcentral lists this long non-coding RNA (1189 nucleotides) under Zonotrichia albicollis (white-throated sparrow). RNAcentral describes it as "lncRNA (ENSZALG00000017218.1)". Lineage: Eukaryota; Metazoa; Chordata; Aves; Passeriformes; Passerellidae. The record is from RNAcentral.
AUGGGACUGGACACUUUGAGUGCCUUGGGAAAGCUCUUCUGCUCUUUGUCCUUUGGAAUACAGAGAAAACCAGCUAGAGCCCCAAAAUGGCUUUUAUUUGCACCUACCUGCUGCCUCUCCAUCUCUUCCAGCUGGCACAUUUGGGAGGUGCAAAGGGCUGAAAAACUGCUGAAGAAUUGCAUCUUCACUGCAUGGAGAAAUCCAGAGGUGCCUUGCAGGGACAUAAUCUAUACAGAGAAUAAUUUUAAAUUGUUCCCCAUGUGAAGAUGCCGAGGAGAAAAAGGUGGUCUCAGCUCAGGAUUCUGAGUGGAAAUGUUAUUGCUGCUUCAGCUGUCCCUAUUCUGGAAGUCCCAGCUUUCAUAUUGAGAAAAAUCCAUUUUCCACAAAGUAGACAACUUAUUCCAUGGGACUGUCCACAUGAACAGGAAAACCAGAAUGGUUAAAGUAUACCUAUUUCCAGUAUCACAAUCCCAGCUGGUCUAUUUUCUGCACAUACCAGUUGACUCUUCGCUUUCUUGAAAGAGUAAUUAUUAUGAAAGAAGUUAUUAUUUGAGAACAGAAAAUCUGAAAAAGGAAGAGAAUUGGCAAUUGGCAUAAUUAUAGUAGAAUAGCAUCCCUGACCAGGCCAACCCUAAGUGUCACAGCAAGUUCUUUGAUCUACUCCAAAACAAUGUAGCCACAAGCUUGAUUUUCCCUCAAGACAGAAAGUUGAAUCACAGUAUGUCCCAAAAUAAUUUAAUGAGCAUGAAUUCCAAAUUAAAUUAAAAAAACUUGUAAAGGCACUACACCCCAAAGAUACCAGUCGCCACAGAAUUUUUUAACCAACUGUGUUUUAUUUCAAAUAAUAACAGUAAUUAAAAAUACAUAUCUUAGAAGCACAAGCAGAUUAGUUAAAGAACAUUUUAGGAUUAUAAAAGCACUUUCCGUUGUAUCAACCAGAUGUCAUUUCAAAUGCUACUGUUUGGAUUAAUUAACUGAGUUCAGGACACCACAUAUUAAACUUGCUAGUUGUACUACCCAUCCUCCCUCAUAUCCUUUUGUAAUUUAUUACUAAAAUCUUGGCCAAUUAGAAAAACACAAUCUAUUAAGUAAAACAGCACACUGAACCAAUCAACAGUAAUUACUCAGAUUAGGAGCCAUUUAAAUGAUUUAUGGCAGAAAUUAGUUUUUUUAAAAUGCUUCAUAAAGG